This 253-nucleotide ribosomal RNA is filed under the name uncultured bacterium. Its description in RNAcentral is "partial 16S ribosomal RNA". It matches the Rfam family "Bacterial small subunit ribosomal RNA", at positions 524 to 776 of the family's 1533-position model. The record is from RNAcentral.
UACGUAGGGCGCAAGCGUUGUCCGGAAUUAUUGGGCGUAAAGAGCUCGUAGGCGGCCUGUUACGUCUGCUGUGAAAUCCCGGGGCUUAACCCCGGGCGUGCAGUGGAUACGGGCAGGCUGGAGGCAGGCAGGGGAGAACGGAAUUCCCGGUGUAGCGGUGAAAUGCGCAGAUAUCGGGAAGAACACCCGUGGCGAAGGCGGUUCUCUGGGACGGUACUGACGCUGAGACGCGAAAGCGUGGGGAGCGAACAGG